Molecule: ribosomal RNA, 254 nt
Filed under: uncultured bacterium
Lineage: Bacteria
Description: partial 16S ribosomal RNA
Rfam family: Bacterial small subunit ribosomal RNA
Source: RNAcentral
UACGGAGGGAGCUAGCGUUGUUCGGAUAUACUGGGCGUAAAGCGCACGUAGGCGGCGCAGCAAGUCAGGGGUGAAAUCCCGGAGCUCAACUCCGGAACUGCCUUUGAAACUGCAGUGCUAGAAUUCUGGAGAGGCGAGUGGAAUUCCGAGUGUAGAGGUGAAAUUCGUAGAUACCAGGAGGAACACCAACGGCGAAGGCAGGUGACUGGACAUUUUGUGACGGCUGAGGCGCGAAAGUGUGGGGAGCGAACCGG